Non-coding RNA from Manis javanica (Malayan pangolin), 1618 nucleotides. The record is from RefSeq and is a predicted model, not a curated record. NCBI's taxonomy places the organism in Eukaryota, Metazoa, Chordata, Mammalia, Pholidota, Manidae.
GGGUGGAAAGUGCACGGGAAACGGUGCCGCCCGCCCGCCGUGCUAACCCCCCUCUGUUCCUUCCAGCAUUGGCGGGAGUCGCGGCCAUGCGGGAGAAGCGCCUCGGAAGAGGGCAGCGAGCCCCGCCGGGAGUGGAGAACGAGGGACGCGCGGGCAGCAGGCGGGGGGCGGACUCCGCGCGGCUCGCCCACCACGGGACGCACGGCCGGCGGCGGCGCGCGGCCCGCCCUGAGCCCGGGAGGGCGGGGAGACAAUACCCGCUCGGCGGGGCAGUCCAGGCCGCUCGCCACCGCUCGCCCCCGCCCGCCGGACACGGGCUGCUCCUCCCCGGCCGAAGGGCAGCGGAGGGAAGGCGCCGGGAGCGAUUGCCAGACUGACCCCGCGCGGCGCGGAAGGCCCGGAGUGCCCGCUCCCCCGCCCACCUCCGCGUGCGCUCCGACCCGGCGAGUCCCGGGGCCGCAGACCCACCUCCUCCUCCAGGGUGCCUCCGGAGCCUGAGCCCGCGCCGGUGCCCGUGCUGGUGCUGUGCUCGCCGUCCGGCUUCAGGCUGCUCAUGCGGUUGGAGCGCAGCAGCCCCAAUCCCGGGGAGGUACCGGAAAACUGAGCCAGUCCCCGACGCCUCUGACCUCGAGCUGCGCCCCCGGAGAUCCCUGCGGAAGGGUCCAUAGGGAUUUGGGAAGACACUGCCCAGAGGAAGCCAAAGGUCACUGAGAAUGCCACUCUGACCUGCCUCCCUGCCUGAGCUGCAGGUCUUCUGGAGCCUGGGAGGGGACCUCCAGGCCAGACGAACUCUGCAGAAUUGCCCAGCAUGCCCAGGAAUUGGUCCCACUGGGCAGAGUUUCCAGGAGAGACCAAGGGGCUGAAAUUGAAAGUAGGAAUGGUUGCACUUGGGUCCAGUGAGGCAAGUGACAGUCGUUUGCGGUUUGGGGCUCUGCAUGGAAUGGGGUGGAGUUGGGUAAAGAGGGGAGAUAACCUGGCUCUACCCUCAGCACUGAAGGUGAAGAGUGCCCUCCAUCUUUACGGUGUUUAUAAGGAGAAGGGAGUAGCUGCUCUCAUUCUCUUUAAGGCCUUAAGGAUUGAAGGAAGCAGUAGGGGUGGAAAGCAAUGCCUAAUCCAUAGGCUUUCCCUGUGGUGGGUGUUGUGGCUUUGCGAGUCAUAGAAUCUGUGUUAGGAGAGGCCCUAGAAGUUAUCCAAGCCACUGGACCUUAUUCUUGGCUGCAGACCAGAAUUGCCUUUUGAAAAAGACAGAUGCCUUGGGCCCAUCUGAAAAGUACUACAUCCAAAUCUCUGGGGCAGACCUCGGGAACUACCUUGUACCCCAGCAGCUAGAAUCCCAGGACCUGAAUCCAACUGUCUGCAUCAAAUACUUGAAUCCCUACCAAAAGCUAAUCUGCCUGAACUUGGGGAAAAGCAACUCAUUACCACACACCCCCACCCCCGAGAAUUGCUCAUUGCACUAUAACACCUCCAGCAUUACUUAAUAGCAAUAUCAUCAUCAAAAAAUGAUUAGAGAUCCCAAACCAAGAAACUACUAUUCCGGGAAAGAAUCAAAGCAUUAAAUUUCUUAUGUUAACUCUGCAAAAUAGUCCAGAAAACUGACAAGAAACUUAGUGUCUCA